Molecule: ribosomal RNA, 292 nt
Filed under: uncultured bacterium
Lineage: Bacteria
Description: partial 16S ribosomal RNA
Rfam family: Bacterial small subunit ribosomal RNA
Source: RNAcentral
GUGUCAGCCGCCGCGGUAACACGGGGGGAGCAAGCGUUGUUCGGAAUUACUGGGCGUAAAGGGCGUGUAGGCGGUCUGGUAAGUGGGAUGUGAAAUGCCCCGGCUCACCCGGGGACCUGCAUCCCAAACUACCUGGCUUGAGUAUGGGAGAGGAUGAGGGAAUUCCUGGUGUAGCGGUGAAAUGCGUAGAUAUCAGGAGGAACACCGGUGGCGAAAGCGCUCAUCUGGCCCAAUACUGACGCUGAGGCGCGAAAGCUAGGGGAGCAAACGGGAUUAGAUACCCCGGUAGUCC